This 254-nucleotide ribosomal RNA is filed under the name uncultured bacterium. RNAcentral's name for it is "partial 16S ribosomal RNA". It matches the Rfam family "Bacterial small subunit ribosomal RNA", at positions 524 to 776 of the family's 1533-position model. The record is from RNAcentral.
UACGUAGGGCGCAAGCGUUGUCCGGAAUUAUUGGGCGUAAAGAGCUCGUAGGCGGCCUGUUGCGUCCGCUGUGAAAUCCCGGGGCUCAACCCCGGGCGUGCAGUGGAUACGGGCUGGCGUGGAGGCAGGCAGGGGAGAACGGAAUUCCUGGUGUAGCGGUGAAAUGCGCAGAUAUCAGGAGGAACACCGGUGGCGAAGGCGGUUCUCUGGGCCUGUACUGACGCUGAGGAGCGAAAGCGUGGGGAGCGAACAGG